RNAcentral lists this transfer RNA (77 nucleotides) under Brachyspira hyodysenteriae WA1. Its description in RNAcentral is "tRNA-Ala". Lineage: Bacteria; Pseudomonadati; Spirochaetota; Spirochaetia; Brachyspirales; Brachyspiraceae. The record is from RNAcentral.
AAUUGGAGAUAAUGGGGCUCGAACCCACGACCCUCACAAUGCCAUUGUGAUGCUCUCCCAAACUGAGCUAUAUCCCC